Molecule: ribosomal RNA, 254 nt
Filed under: uncultured bacterium
Lineage: Bacteria
Description: partial 16S ribosomal RNA
Rfam family: Bacterial small subunit ribosomal RNA
Source: RNAcentral
UACGAAGGGGGCUAGCGUUGUUCGGAAUUACUGGGCGUAAAGCGUAUGCAGGCGGAUCGUUAAGUCGGGGGUGAAAUCCCGAGGCUCAACCUCGGAACUGCCUUCGAUACUGGCGACCUUCGAGUCCGGGAGAGGUGAGUGGAACUCCGAGUGUAGAGGUGAAAUUCGUAGAUAUUAGGAAGAACACCAGUGGCGAAGGCGGCUCACUGGCCCGGUACUGACGCUGAGGCGCGAAAGCGUGGGGAGCAAACAGG